GAGGGUAUAGCUCCGUGGUAGAGUAUGUGCUUAGCAUGCAUGAGAUUCUGGUUUCAAUCCCCAGUACCUCCU
This 72-nucleotide transfer RNA is filed under the name Camelus bactrianus (Bactrian camel). It matches the Rfam family "tRNA". Rfam says of the family: Transfer RNA (tRNA) molecules are approximately 80 nucleotides in length. Their secondary structure includes four short double-helical elements and three loops (D, anti-codon, and T loops). The record is from Rfam by way of RNAcentral. RNAcentral also lists the same sequence under 2 other names. Lineage: Eukaryota; Metazoa; Chordata; Mammalia; Artiodactyla; Camelidae.